Molecule: long non-coding RNA, 1379 nt
Filed under: Suricata suricatta (meerkat)
Lineage: Eukaryota; Metazoa; Chordata; Mammalia; Carnivora; Herpestidae
Description: lncRNA (ENSSSUG00005000201.1)
Source: RNAcentral
CAGGUCCCAGGAGCCCUGGAUGAUGGGCUUGGAGGACCCCUGGGGCCAGGCUCACAUUCUUACCUCAGCUGUAGGGAGGACAGUUUGUCCCAUGGGACUCCUCUGGGACUGGCACGCGUACAACAUCCAGGGGAUGGGCUGGUCAGAUCCCAGCUGGCCUCUCAUUGGUUCAUCUUUGACAGACCCAGGCGUGGCCUGGAGGCUCUGACUCUCUGCUGGGUGGAGACAUCAAUGUGGAAGGAGCCAGGGCGGGUGGGAGUGGGAGGGGAAUGUGUGGGUGAAAGUGUAUGGGAUUGCGUUGUGCGUUUCUUCCCCUGGAGCUGGGAGGUCUGGACACCUAGCCAGUGUGUGUGUCCAGGAUCAGACCCAAGAGGAGACCCCAGAGGAAAGAAAAGCUGGUGGAGGUGCCUGGCUCGGUGGCCUAUUGAGAAAGAGCUGUCCCUGAGGAGCCUGAUGGGCGUCCUGGGGCUGGGGAAGCAGACAGAGGUCCUGAAAGGACAGUUGUCAGGGCAGCUACACAAAGGCCAUCACCAGGGUCUAGCUGGAACACAGUGGGGGAAAUCCCCCAGAGGUCUGAGAACAGUAGCCUGCAGUACUUUCUUUACCUUCUUCUAGGUCAGUGAUUGUCAAAAUGUGGUCCCUGGACCAACAGCAUCACUUGAGAAUUUAUUAAAGCUGCAGAUUAUUUGGGCCUCACUCCAGAUCUUCUGAAUCAGAACCUCGGGGGCUGGAGCCCAGUGAUUUAUAUUUUUGCAAGCUCUCCAGAUGAUUCCGAGGCACUCUCACAUUUGAAAACCAUUGCUGUGGGACAAGUGUUCCUUCUCACGAUGUCCUGUGGAAGGCAGGAUGCAAAAGUUGGCUAAGAGACGGGCCAGCUGAAUUCCCCCCCCAGCGCCUACUAAAGAGAAGCAGGGGUUGGAAAUUUAGAUGGCUUUGAGCCAGAAGUCAACUGUGAAUGUCUGAACAUUUCUUAGAGACCUCUAAUGAGGCUGGAUUCUGCUCCAAAGAAGCUGUUCCUUAGAGGUCAGUUUGAAGCUGAACUGAACACAACCACCAACAAAAAUAAAGGAGUUUGCCUAUGUGCUGGAGGGGAUUUCUCCACAGAAUAUUAAGUGUUCUUUCUAUAUGAAAACAGAAGGUCAAGGUCAUGCCAAUGUGUGGCUUAGAGAGUACAUUGUAUGUUUUGGCCCCAAAUAUCUCAUGAGAGACCAAAGUUAAUUUUGUGCCAGUCAACCUGAUCCAGUCAGAAGAAUGUUCUAGUAAUUUAUAAAUGUAUCACUCUAAAGAUAGUUGAGCCAAUGAUAGACUUUAAUUCCUCUACUUGGUUCUUAAAAGGGAACAGUGGAAUUUAAUUCCUUCCACUUAUUUCUAAACGUGGG